This 582-nucleotide ribosomal RNA is filed under the name Phylloporia osmanthi. RNAcentral describes it as "partial small subunit ribosomal RNA". It matches the Rfam family "Bacterial small subunit ribosomal RNA", at positions 369 to 962 of the family's 1533-position model. The record is from RNAcentral. Lineage: Eukaryota; Fungi; Basidiomycota; Agaricomycetes; Hymenochaetales; Hymenochaetaceae.
CGAGGUUUGAGUCGCUCAUCCUGCGUCGUAUUGCCAUACAACUAAUGCUCUGGAUUAAAUUUAAUAUGUAAGGCAACAAUAAUGAUGAAACCUUACUAUUAGUGUCGUCCAAAACUGGUGCCAGAAGACUCGGUAAGGCCAGAGACGCAAACGUUAGUCGUCAUUAUCAGGCGUAAAGGGUUCGUAGGCAGCUUUGAAAUUUCUUUCUUUAUAAGUAGCACUCUAAUUUAGAGUUAAGGAAAGAAGCAAUUAAAGCUAGAAUCAUAAAGAGGUCAUAUUAUAUAAUUUCAAGAUAAGGGGUUAAAUCUGAAAACACUUGAAGGAAUUUUAAAGGGCGAAGGCUUAUUUUCCAUAAAUGAUUGACGCUGAGGAACGAAAGGGAGGAGCGGAACCAGGAUUAGAUACCCAUUUACCCCUCUCUGCUAACGAUGAAUGGUAGUUAACCUGUUAUAUAAAAUAGGAAGCAAAGCUAACGCGAUAACCAUUCCGCCAUGCGAGUACGACUGCAAAGUUGAAAGCAAAAAAAUUAGUCGGUUUCGAAGCAAACGAAGUGAAGCAUGUUAUUUAAUUCGAUAAUUCCGC